RNAcentral lists this transfer RNA (72 nucleotides) under Bos taurus (domestic cattle). It matches the Rfam family "tRNA". Rfam says of the family: Transfer RNA (tRNA) molecules are approximately 80 nucleotides in length. RNAcentral also lists the same sequence under 2 other names. Lineage: Eukaryota; Metazoa; Chordata; Mammalia; Artiodactyla; Bovidae. The record is from Rfam by way of RNAcentral.
UCCCUGGUGGUCCAACGGCUAAGACUCGGAGCUCCCGGUGCAGGGGCCCAGGUUCAAUCCCUGGUCAGGGAA